RNAcentral lists this non-coding RNA (127 nucleotides) under Macrococcoides caseolyticum. Its description in RNAcentral is "Macrococcus caseolyticus FMN sequence". It matches the Rfam family "FMN riboswitch aptamer (RFN element)". Rfam says of the family: The RFN element is a highly conserved domain that is found frequently in the 5'-untranslated regions of prokaryotic mRNAs that encode for flavin mononucleotide (FMN) biosynthesis and transport proteins. This element is a metabolite-dependent riboswitch that directly binds FMN in the absence of proteins. Lineage: Bacteria; Bacillati; Bacillota; Bacilli; Caryophanales; Staphylococcaceae. The record is from RNAcentral. RNAcentral also lists the same sequence under 1 other name.
ACAUUCUUUCGGGGCUGGGUGAAAUUCCCAACCGGCGGUGAUAGCCCGCGACCCUUAUGCACUGCAUAAGGCUGACUCUUUGAAAUUCAGAGGCCGACAGUUAAAGUCUGGAUGGGAGAAAGAAUAG